Molecule: ribosomal RNA, 311 nt
Filed under: uncultured eukaryote
Lineage: Eukaryota
Description: partial large subunit ribosomal RNA
Rfam family: Eukaryotic large subunit ribosomal RNA
Source: RNAcentral
AUAUAAGUAAGCGGAGGAAAAGAAACUAAAUAGGAUUCCCUUAGUAAUGGCGAAUGAACAGGGAUGAGCUCGGCAUGGAAAUCGGGGCAUCUGGCCUUGAAUUGUAGCCUCGAGAAGUUUUACCAACAUAGGCGCAGAUGUAAGCUUCUUGGAAAAGAACAUCACUGUGGGUGAGAAUCCCGUGUGUCAUCUGCAGUCCUGUGUGUACGGUAUGCUUUCUCAGAGUCGCGUUCCUCGGAAUUGGAGCGUAAAGUUGGUGGUAAAUUUCAUCUAAAGCUAAAUAAUGGCUUGAGACCGAUAGCGCACAAGUA